Molecule: long non-coding RNA, 117 nt
Organism: Lutra lutra (Eurasian river otter)
Lineage: Eukaryota; Metazoa; Chordata; Mammalia; Carnivora; Mustelidae
Exons: 3
Source: RefSeq, a predicted model, not a curated record
CCUGGGUGGCUCAGUGGGUUAAGCGUUUGACUCCUGGUUGGGCUUAGGUCAUGAUCUCAGGUCGUGAGACCGAGCCCCGCGUCAGGGUCCGUGCUCAGCAGGGAGCCUGCUUCAGAU